This is a long non-coding RNA of Brassica rapa (field mustard), 2105 nucleotides long. RefSeq lists it as uncharacterized. Lineage: Eukaryota; Viridiplantae; Streptophyta; Magnoliopsida; Brassicales; Brassicaceae. The record is from RefSeq and is a predicted model, not a curated record.
UUUUUUAAAUGGAAUAUUUCUAUUUUGUGAACUUUCCUUUUUAAUGAAAUCAUAUUAUAUAUACAUAUAUUUUCGUUUUAAAUUUGUUUUUAAAACCUUAUAAUGUUUCCUUUUUUAUUAUAUAUCAUAUUUGGAAAUUUUUAAAAAGGAAAAUAUAUAAAAUAUUCAAUAAUAGUAUUUAAAUGUAAUAUUUUUAAUUCAUUAAGGAUAUCAGUGUAAUCAACCAUCGUGAGAAUUAACGUGAACGCGACACAUAAGAAACUGACUUCUCAAAUAAUAUUAAAGAGAUAGUAGCACUAAUCAUAGAAAUAACAAUUAAUAUGUGCAAUGUAAUUAAAUGCUUUCAGGUUAGAUUUAACUUUGGCUGUAAAAAAUUUCUUUUUUUGUUUGAUUAAUUUUACAUUCCACUAAAAAAGUAAGAAUUAGACAUGUGAAAUUUGGUUUUGAACCAGGUGAUGGUGGUUUAAUAGUAUGUGGGUUUUCAAUUUCUAAGUAACUUGAUUCGAAGGCAUUCCACUACAUAAAUUAUCAUUAAGAUUAUAUAACUAUUCUCAUAAUUACAUUUAUACUAUCGAGUAUCGUGCCAUCUCCUAAGAUGGUUGCUAUUUGGGAACCUCGAAAUCACCUCCAAUGUGGUGGUCAAUGAAAAUUACGCUUCCGACGGAGGGAAAGGGAUGGUGGAUCGAGACCACCUACAGAAAGACAUCUCUAUUGAAAUUUAUUUUAGGAAUCACUACACCAGAUGCUUAACGACAUUAAUGAUCUAGCGUUGGGAAAAUAUGAACAAAUGAUUAUUAGCAAAUAGAUUGGUUCAGGUAAGUAAAUUAGAUUCUAAAUUAAGUAGGAGUGUUCAACUCAGAUUUGAGUUCAGUUUCGGUUUGGUUUUUCUAUAUAUAAUAAUUAGAUACCAUAUUAAUACUAUACUUUGUUUCGGUUUGAUUUGGUUCGGUUUGUAUACUAUUGGUUUUUUAUUUAUUCAGUUUUAUAACCAAAACCAUAACUAUAUUUAUCUUUUAUAAAAAAAUUAGUUUAUAUGAUUAGAAAUAAGUUUUUAAAACAUAAAUAUAUAUUCCGUACUCAAAUUUAAAUAGAAUAUUUUAUGUUUUUAUUUACUUAUUAAAUUUAAAAAAUAAUAAUAUCAUUAUAUUAUUAAAUAAAUUUAUUUAGCUCAAAUAUUUACCAAUAACAAAAUAAAAAAUAAUAUUUUAUUUAAUUUGAUCAAAAUGAGAAAGAUAAAAUAACCUUUUUUAACUUUUAACUUAAAACAAAACAAAUAGAUAUUAAAAUCAAUGUUUAAAAAAUGAAUAUCAUAUUAAUAAAAAAAAUUAUGUAUCUAUUAUUAAUUGUAUUAUAAAAUGAGAAAUCGCACUCAACGAAAAAAAAUAUUUUAGUAAUAACCAUAGUAACUCAUGGCCAGAAUAUUAUACAUAUUAUUGACUAAUGUGACGAAAAUACCUUCUGCUUUAUGCUUUUUGUUCAAGCUCACUUGUGUGUUUUAUUAGAAAGAAGAGAAUACAGAAGAGGCGUGAAGCCACAUCCAAUUUUUUAUAAACACUUAGGAUAUCGAUUUCUAGGAGGUGUGAAAGGAUGGUUUUUGGGUAGGGUUUCCAUUGUUUUUUUGGUGGUUGGGAAGAGUAUUAAUCGACGAUAUAUUUGAAGUUAGGGUUUGAACAGGUGAAGUCGGUGUAUGGUGGUUGUGUCAAGGAUACAACAAAGGCCAACAUCGGACCUGGUGGGUAGGUGCGUCAUACAAUGAGCCCAAGGACCAUUUUCGUCAAGUGUUUCCGGUGAAACAGAAGUAAAGGGGGUAAAUCAAUUACUGAUAAGAUUUUCGCUACAAUUAAUUGUAGAAUACAAUGUAAUUGUUAGGUAUAGAGGUAGUGUAAAUGAUUGCCGGAAAUAUGAGGCGUGUUCAAGACCACCGAGUUGAGACUCGGUUUCCCGGAUCCGAGUCACCCAAGUGAGCAUCCAAAUGAUUAUGAUCCUUCUUGUUGAUCUUGAAUUGAUUUUGUUUCAUCCUCUUCGUUUUUAAUAAUAGCACAUCUCACUUGUAGCAACAAAAGUUUUGAUUUUUAAGCUAUACAGGUCCAUUUAUUACUUGUCGA